RNAcentral lists this ribosomal RNA (63 nucleotides) under Cephalotus follicularis. Its description in RNAcentral is "5.8S ribosomal RNA". It matches the Rfam family "5.8S ribosomal RNA", at positions 40 to 102 of the family's 154-position model. Rfam says of the family: 5.8S ribosomal RNA (5.8S rRNA) is a component of the large subunit of the eukaryotic ribosome. It is transcribed by RNA polymerase I as part of the 45S precursor that also contains 18S and 28S rRNA. The record is from Rfam by way of RNAcentral. Lineage: Eukaryota; Viridiplantae; Streptophyta; Magnoliopsida; Oxalidales; Cephalotaceae.
AGAACGCAGCAAAAUGCGAUAAUUGAUAUGAAUUGCAUAAUCCAGUAAAUCAUCAAUAUUUUU